RNAcentral lists this ribosomal RNA (484 nucleotides) under uncultured bacterium. Its description in RNAcentral is "partial 16S ribosomal RNA". It matches the Rfam family "Bacterial small subunit ribosomal RNA", at positions 28 to 523 of the family's 1533-position model. The record is from RNAcentral.
GAUGAACGCUGGCGGCGUGCUUAACACAUGCAAGUCGAACGGUGAAGCAGGAGCUUGCUCUUGUGGAUCAGUGGCGAACGGGUGAGUAACACGUGAGCAACCUGCCCCUGACUCUGGGAUAAGCGCUGGAAACGGCGUCUAAUACUGGAUAUGUGAUGUGACCGCAUGGUCUGCAUCUGGAAAGAAUUUCGGUUGGGGAUGGGCUCGCGGCCUAUCAGCUUGUUGUUGAGGUAAUGGCUCACCAAGGCGUCGACGGGUAGCCGGCCUGAGAGGGUGAGCGGCCACACUGUGACUUGGACACGGCCCAGACUCCUACGAGAGGCAGCAGGGGGGAAUAAUGCACAAUGGGCGGAAGCCUUAUGCAGCAACGCCGCGUGAGGGAUGACGGCCUUCGGGUUGUAAACCUCUUUUAGCAGUGAAGAAGCGAAAGUGACGGUACCUGCAGAAAAAGCACCGGCUAACUACGUGCCAGCCGCCGCAGUAA